UCGAGAAUUUUUCUCAAUGGGGGAAACCCUGAAGGAGCGACGCCGCGUGAAGGAUGAAGGUCUUCGGAUUGUAAACUUCUGUCAUUAGGGAACAAGUGCCGGCAAUUAACUACUGUCGGCUUGAUAGUACCUGAAGAGGAAGGGACGGCUAACUCUGUGCCAGCAGCCGCGGUAAUACAGAGGUCCCAAGCGUUGUUCGGAUUCAUUGGGCGUAAAGGGUGCGUAGGUGGUGCCGUAAGUUGGGUGUGAAACCUCGGGGCUUAACCCCGAAACUGCAUUCAAUACUGCGGUGCUUGAGUACUGGAGAGGAGAUUGGAAUUCGCGGUGUAGCAGUGAAAUGCGUAGAUAUCGUGAGGAAGACCAGUGGCGAAGGCGGAUCUCUGGACAGUUACUGACACUGAGGCACGAAGGCCAGGGGAGCAAACGG
Molecule: ribosomal RNA, 427 nt
Filed under: uncultured bacterium
Lineage: Bacteria
Description: bacterial SSU rRNA
Rfam family: Bacterial small subunit ribosomal RNA
Source: RNAcentral